This 230-nucleotide ribosomal RNA is filed under the name uncultured bacterium. RNAcentral describes it as "partial 16S ribosomal RNA". It matches the Rfam family "Bacterial small subunit ribosomal RNA", at positions 118 to 346 of the family's 1533-position model. The record is from RNAcentral.
UGAGCAAUCUGCCCUUCUCUUCGGAAUAAGCGUUGGAAACGACGUCUAAUGCCGAAUAUGACCUCCUUUCGCAUGAUCGGAGGUGGAAAGCUCCGGCGGAGAAGGAUGAGCUCGCGGCCUAUCAGCUAGUUGGUGUGGUAAUGGCCCACCAAGGCGACGACGGGUAGCCGGCCUGAGAGGGUGACCGGCCACGACGGGGACUGAGACGACGGCCCAGACUCCGUACGGGA